RNAcentral lists this long non-coding RNA (971 nucleotides) under Olea europaea subsp. europaea. Lineage: Eukaryota; Viridiplantae; Streptophyta; Magnoliopsida; Lamiales; Oleaceae. The record is from RNAcentral.
CGCCAUUCACACUCAACAAGAGAAUAACCUCCUCACUCUCAGAGCUGUCCCUCAGCCACGAACGAAACUUCAACCCUGAUUUUCCAUAUCAUCCUCGUCAUUAUCAGCAUCAUCGUACUCCACGGCCACCUCUACAGUCUCCCCUGACCACCUGCUCCGAUGAGCUGGUCACCUACGUCUUCCCUAUAUCGCCUCUUUCCCCAAUAACAUUACGGAAAUCCCUCCACCUUAAUGCUGAAAUGACGCCUCCGUUACUCUUGCCUCCAAUUCAGCCGUUUUACUCUUUUACUUGGUUCAUCAGCCUGGAAUUCUCGAAUUUCCGCUGAACUCUACGAAGCUGAUGUCUCUCUCUUCUGCCUGUCCGGAGAAGCUUCAUGGAUCCAAAGCGCCAAUUUCUCUUGAGUCUCUCUAAUCAGGUUCGAAUAUAUAUAUACAUACUCCGUGGUGUCAGUUAGCUACUGAAAAGUUGAAUAUUUCUAGAUUUAUGACUUUGUUUAAUUCGGAGCUGUUUAGCUAUAUCUAACAUUUGGUCAAUUGAUAGAAAUUUUGAUUUAUCUUUGCUUGAUACAUGAACAGAAGAUGGAGAAAUAUGCACUCUGUUUGGGUUUGUGAAUGGAUGUAUUGAAUUGAAAAAAUUUCCUUCAUUUAUUUGAUUUCUUUCGAGUUUGUAACUAAUUUACCUGAAUUUUUAGAAAAGCCAAAUAUUUUAUAAAGGACUUCUUAAGUAUGAAAUGAAAAAUGACUAAUUUUGGUAUUUGCUUGAAAUAUCACAAAGUUGAAGAUUUAGCAGCUUUAAUGUCAGGUGUUCGACUAGUUUUCUUCAAGCUUCACUAUCUCUUGGAACAGAGUGGAAGAAACGAGUGUUUGUUUUGUUGUCUUAUGCAUACUCGAUGAUUCUAUGUUUUGUCGAGUUGACUACUCAACCUUCGUAUAGCUUGAUCAACUUGUUGAUUUUCAUAGCAAUCUUAUCU